GACGGGGCCCGCACAAGCGUGGAGCAUGUGGUUUAAUUCGACGAUACGCGAAGAACCUUACCUGGCCUUGACAUACUAAAAAGCUUUAAGAGAUUAGAGUGUGCUAGCUUGCUAGAAUUUAGAUACAGGUGCUGCACGGCUGUCGUCAGCUCGUGUCGUGAGAUGUUGGGUUAAGUCCCGCAACGAGCGCAACCCUCGUGUUUAGUUGCUAACAGUUCGGCUGAGAACUCUAAACAGACUGCCUACGCAAGUAGGAGGAAGGUGAGGACGACGUCAAGUCAUCAUGGCCCUUACGGCCAGGGCUACACACGUGCUACAAUGGGGUAUACAAAGAGCAGCGAUACGGUGACGUGGAGCAAAUCUAGAAAAUGCCUCUCAGUUCGGAUUGUAGUCUGCAACUCGACUACAUGAAGUUGGAAUCGCUAGUAAUCGUAGAUCAGCAAUGCUACGGUGAAUACGUUCCGGUCUU
Molecule: ribosomal RNA, 469 nt
Filed under: uncultured Arcobacter sp.
Lineage: Bacteria; Pseudomonadati; Campylobacterota; Epsilonproteobacteria; Campylobacterales; Arcobacteraceae
Description: bacterial SSU rRNA
Rfam family: Bacterial small subunit ribosomal RNA
Source: RNAcentral